Molecule: ribosomal RNA, 922 nt
Filed under: uncultured bacterium
Lineage: Bacteria
Also listed under: 1 other name
Description: bacterial SSU rRNA
Rfam family: Bacterial small subunit ribosomal RNA
Source: RNAcentral
GGAUCCAGACUUUGAUCAUGGCUCAGGAUGAACGCUAGCUACAGGCUUAACACAUGCAAGUCGAGGGGCAGCGGGAUUGAAGCUUGCUUCAAUUGCCGGCGACCGGCGCACGGGUGAGUAACGCGUAUCCAACCUUCCGUACACUCAGGGAUAGCCUUUCGAAAGAAAGAUUAAUACCUGAUAGUAUCUUAAGCACACAUGUAAUUAAGAUUAAAGAUUUAUCGGUGUACGAUGGGGAUGCGUUCCAUUAGGUAGUAGGCGGGGUAACGGCCCACCUAGCCAACGAUGGAUAGGGGUUCUGAGAGGAAGGUCCCCCACAUUGGAACUGAGACACGGUCCAAACUCCUACGGGAGGCAGCAGUGAGGAAUAUUGGUCAAUGGACGAGAGUCUGAACCAGCCAAGUAGCGUGAAGGAUGAAGGUCCUACGGAUUGUAAACUUCUUUUAUAAGGGAAUAAACCCUCCCACGUGUGGGAGCUUGUAUGUACCUUAUGAAUAAGCAUCGGCUAACUCCGUGCCAGCAGCCGCGGUAAUACGGAGGAUGCGAGCGUUAUCCGGAUUUAUUGGGUUUAAAGGGAGCGCAGACGGGUCGUUAAGUCAGCUGUGAAAGUUUGGGGCUCAACCUUAAAAUUGCAGUUGAUACUGGCGUCCUUGAGUGCGGUUGAGGUGUGCGGAAUUCGUGGUGUAGCGGUGAAAUGCUUAGAUAUCACGAAGAACUCCGAUUGCGAAGGCAGCACACUAAUCCGUAACUGACGUUCAUGCUCGAAAGUGUGGGUAUCAAACAGGAUUAGAUACCCUGGUAGUCCACACGGUAAACGAUGGAUACUCGCUGUUGGCGAUAUACUGUCAGCGGCUUAGCGAAAGCGUUAAGUAUCCCACCUGGGGAGUACGCCGGCAACGGUGCAACUCAAAUGAAUUGACGG